This 686-nucleotide long non-coding RNA is filed under the name Ictidomys tridecemlineatus (thirteen-lined ground squirrel). RNAcentral's name for it is "lncRNA (ENSSTOG00000033778.1)". The record is from RNAcentral. Lineage: Eukaryota; Metazoa; Chordata; Mammalia; Rodentia; Sciuridae.
GGAAACCACGGAGUGGAACGGCUCAGAGCCAAGGUAGUGUGGGAGCUGGGGUGGGGUCGCGGUUUCUUUUAUUUAUUUCACUUGGAACUGUGGGGGGCCUUUGGACUCCCUCGGGCCGAUUGCCCGGAAGUCCGGACCUGAAAAACCAGCGGAAAACAGGAGGCUUCAGGGCAGGUGGGGGACUAUGGUGAAGAGCGGCUCGCCCGGCUCGCCAGCCCUGCGGCGGCGGGUGAGAUGAGUGUUCACAAGGGGUUUGGCUCACUUGAGGAGCCCUUUCUUCUUGAGAAGGACCAGGAUGUCUUCCCUGGAAAGACAGGAUUGGAUGUGGAUACAGGAUUCUCUUACCAAAGAGGAGGUCAUAGGAAUGAGAGGAGAUGGAGAACAAGAUCUGAAUGGAGAACAGACUCUAUCCAGUGCCCAGGAAGGGAAGAAUGUAGCACAUGAGAAGAUUUUGGCAUCAGCCUUGGAUUCACCAGUUAUCCGGCAUUGGCCUGGGGUUAUCCAACCUGAAAAUGUCAUCCCUAUUUCUUGGGUUCUACAAGAAAAGACAGUGUCUUCCACCCCUGAAUCUGCCUUAGAUCAUGAGAACUGCCAAGAAGACAUAGCACAGGAAGAAGUGCCAUUGGUCAGCAAUCCCCAGGUGAGUUUUGGUUUCCUUUCUUCUGGAGAGUAUUAUUCUCUGAAUA